UGACAGAGAUGGUAUAUUGGGCUUCACUGUAUCCAGAGUCUAGACACCUUUCAAUGUUUUUUUGUUUCUUUUAAGCACAACUAAGGAAAAUUUAAAUUACAGAAACUUGAAAAUGUGAAUAAUAACAAAAUCUCUCCUAGGCUGGAUCAGCGUUCUGUGCAUGAAGUGAAGCAACAGAGUAAAUUAUUAAAUUGCACCAAAAUCUCUACUUUAUGCCUACGUUUACAAUGUAGAACAGCCUUCUGUUAGAAGAAGAUGCCAACGAGGACUUUCAUAGCUAGAAAGAAGUCAAUGUCUGUGUUCAAACUUCAAAGGACAAGCUGACUCUCUUGCUAGAAGCUAAUGCAGUUGGUGAUUUUAAGUUGAAGCUAAUGCUCAUUUACCAUUCUGAAAAUCCCAGGGCCCUUAAGAAUUAUACUAAAUCUACCCUGUCUAUGCUCUAUAAAUGGAAUAACAAAGCCUGGAUGAUGGCACAUGUAUUUACAACAUGGUUUACCGAAUAUUUUAAGCCUAUUGUUGAGACCUACUUUUGGGGGAAAAAAAAGAUUACUUUAAAAAUAUUACCGCUUGUUGAUAAUGCACCUGGCCACCCAAGAGCUCUGAUGGAGAUGUACAAGGAGAUUAAUGUUUUCAAAUAUGUAUUCUGCAGCCUAUGGAUCAAGGAGUCAUUUCAACUUUAAGGUCUUAUAGAAAUAAAUACAUUUUGUAAGGAUAUAGCUGCCAUAGAUGGUGAUUCCUCUGAUAGAUCUAGGCAAAGUCAAUUGAAAACCUUUGAGAAGGGAGAACCAUUCUGGAUGCCAUUAAGAACAUUCGUGAUCAUCAGAGGAGGUCAAAAUAUCAACAUGAACAGAAGUUUGAAAGAAGUUGAUUCCAACCUGCAUGGAUGACUUUCAGGGAUUCAAGACUUAAGUGGAGGAAGUACAUAACUAUAGAGGUGAUAGAAAUAGCAAGAGAAUUUGAAUUAAAAAUGGAGCCUGAAGUUGUGGUUGAAUUACUGCAAUCUCAUGAUAAAACUUGAACAGAUGAGGAGCUGCUUCUUAUGGAUGAGCAAAGGAAGGGGUUUCUUGAGAUGGAAUCUGCUCCUGGUGAAGACACUGUAAACAUUGUUUAAAUGACAACAAAGGAUUCAGAUUAUUCCAUAAACUUAGUUGAUAAAGCAGCAGCAGAGUUUGAGAGGAUUGAGUCUAAUUUUCAAAGAAGUUCUGUGAGUAAAAUGCUAUCAAACAGCACUGCAUGCUACAGAGAAAUCUUUGGUGACUGAAAGAAUCAAUGUAGCAAACUUCAUUGUUGCCUUAAGAAAUUGCCACAGCCACCACUCUGAUCAGUCAGCAGCCGUCAACUUCAAGGCAAGAUGCUCCACCAGCAAAAAGAUUAUGACUCACUAAAGACUCGG
This 1393-nucleotide long non-coding RNA is filed under the name Homo sapiens (human). RNAcentral's name for it is "LHRI_LNC1552.8". The stretch from base 1036 to 1101 matches the Rfam family "mir-1255 microRNA precursor family". Lineage: Eukaryota; Metazoa; Chordata; Mammalia; Primates; Hominidae. The record is from RNAcentral.